GAGUUUGAUCAUGGCUCAGGACGAACGCUGGCGGCGUGCCUAAUACAUGCAAGUCGAGCGAAGUUUUUCUGGUGCUUGCACUAGAAAAACUUAGCGGCGAACGGGUGAGUAACACGUAAAGAACCUGCCUCAUAGACUGGGACAACUAUUGGAAACGAUAGCUAAUACCGGAUAACAGCAUUAACUGCAUGGUUGAUGUUUGAAAGUUGGUUUUGCUAACACUAUGAGAUGGCUUUGCGGUGCAUUAGCUAGUUGGUGGGGUAAAGGCCUACCAAGGCGACGAUGCAUAGCCGACCUGAGAGGGUGAUCGGCCACACUGGGACUGAGACACGGCCCAGACUCCUACGGGAGGCAGCAGUAGGGAAUCUUCCGCAAUGGGCGAAAGCCUGACGGAGCAACGCCGCGUGAGUGAAGAAGGAUUUCGGUUCGUAAAGCUCUGUUGUUAGGGAAGAAUGAUUAUGUAGUAACUAUACAUAGUAGAGACGGUACCUAACCAGAAAGCCACGGCUAACUACGUGCCAGCAGCCGCGGUAAUACGUAGGUGGCAAGCGUUGUCCGGAAUUAUUGGGCGUAAAGCGCGCGCAGGUGGUUUAAUAAGUCUGAUGUGAAAGCCCACGGCUCAACCGUGGAGGGUCAUUGGAAACUGUUAAACUUGAGUGCAGGAGAGAAAAGUGGAAUUCCUAGUGUAGCGGUGAAAUGCGUAGAGAUUAGGAGGAACACCAGUGGCGAAGGCGGCUUUUUGGCCUGUAACUGACACUGAGGCGCGAAAGCGUGGGGAGCAAACAGGAUUAGAUACCCUGGUAGUCCACGCCGUAAACGAUGAGUGCUAAGUGUUGGUCUCAUAAGAGAUCAGUGCUGCAGCUAACGCAUUAAGCACUCCGCCUGGGGAGUACGACCGCAAGGUUGAAAACUCAAAGGAAUUGACGGGGACCCGCACAAGCGGUGGAGCAUGUGGUUUAAUUCGAAGCAAACGCGAAGAACCUUACCAAGUCUUGACAUACUGUGAGGACACAAGAGAUUGUGUUGUUCUGACCUUUGGUUAGACACAGAUACAGGUGGUGCAUGGUUGUCGUCAGCUCGUGUCGUGAGAUGUUGGGUUAAGUCCCGCAACGAGCGCAACCCUUAUAUCUAGUUGCCAGCAGUAAGAUGGGGACUCUAGAUAGACUGCCAGUGAUAAAACUGGAGGAAGGUGGGGAUGACGUCAAAAUCAUCAUGCCCCUUAUGACUUGGGCUACACAACGUGCUACAAUGGAUGGGAACAAAGGGAAAGGGGGCUCGGGGGAGUAACCAACCCUCCCGAAAACUUUUUUCCGUUCGGGAUGGUGUUCGGCGAACUGGACUACAAGGAGGCGGGAAUGGUUGGUAUUCGGGGAAUCAGGAAGGUGGCGGUGAAUACUUUCCCGGGGUUCUUGUACACCCCCCCCGUCA
Molecule: ribosomal RNA, 1428 nt
Filed under: uncultured bacterium
Lineage: Bacteria
Description: bacterial SSU rRNA
Rfam family: Bacterial small subunit ribosomal RNA
Source: RNAcentral